RNAcentral lists this ribosomal RNA (303 nucleotides) under uncultured bacterium. Its description in RNAcentral is "partial 16S ribosomal RNA". It matches the Rfam family "Bacterial small subunit ribosomal RNA", at positions 507 to 807 of the family's 1533-position model. The record is from RNAcentral.
AGCAGCCGCCGCGGGAAUACGUAGGUGGCAAGCGUUGUCCGGAAUUAUUGGGCGUAAAGGGCUCGCAGGCGGUUUCUUAAGUCUGAUGUGAAAGCCCCCGGCUCAACCGGGGAGGGUCAUUGGAAACUGGGAAACUUGAGUGCAGAAGAGGAGAGUGGAAUUCCACGUGUAGCGGUGAAAUGCGUAGAGAUGUGGAGGAACACCAGUGGCGAAGGCGACUCUCUGGUCUGUAACUGACGCUGAGGAGCGAAAGCGUGGGGAGCGAACAGGAUUAGAUACCCGGGUAGUCCCUGUCUCUUAUAC